This is a microRNA precursor of Arabidopsis lyrata subsp. lyrata, 163 nucleotides long. It matches the Rfam family "MIR847 microRNA precursor family". Lineage: Eukaryota; Viridiplantae; Streptophyta; Magnoliopsida; Brassicales; Brassicaceae. The record is from Rfam.
GAAUAAAAGUCUCACAUCUUGAUGAAGAGGAAUGGAAAGCCGAGACCCAAAUCAAAACAGAGGCGUCCCCCAAUUAAAAUUGGUAAGUGAUAUCUAUGUCUUGGUUUCGAUCUUGAUCUCGGUCUUUCACUCCUCUUCUUCAUGAUGUAAGAAUUUGUUAUUC